CCUACGGGAGGCAGCAGUGGGGAAUAUUGCACAAUGGGCGAAACCCUGAUGCAGCGACGCCGCGUGAGCGAAGAAGUAUUUCGGUAUGUAAAGCUCUAUCAGCAGGGAAGAAAAUGACGGUACAUGAGUAAGAAGCUCCGGCUAAAUACGUGCCAGCAGCCGCGGUAAUACGUAUGGAGCAAGCGUUAUCCGGAUUUACUGGGCGUAAAGGGAGCGUAGGCGGCCUUCCAAGUCUGAUGUGAAAUACCGGGGCUCAACCCCGGGGCUGCAUUGGAAACUGGCCGGCUAGAGUGCCGGAGAGGCAGGCGGAAUUCCUAGGGGAGCGGUGAAAUGCGUAGAUAUUAGGAGGAACACCAGUGGCGAAGGCGGCCUGCUGGACGGUGACUGACGCUGAGGCUCGAAAGCGUGGGGAGCAAACAGGAUUAGAUACCCCUGUAGUC
This 440-nucleotide ribosomal RNA is filed under the name uncultured bacterium. RNAcentral describes it as "partial 16S ribosomal RNA". It matches the Rfam family "Bacterial small subunit ribosomal RNA", at positions 338 to 795 of the family's 1533-position model. The record is from RNAcentral.